Long non-coding RNA from Dermochelys coriacea (leatherback sea turtle), 326 nucleotides. RefSeq lists it as uncharacterized. The transcript is spliced from 3 exons. NCBI's taxonomy places the organism in Eukaryota, Metazoa, Chordata, Testudines, Dermochelyidae. The record is from RefSeq and is a predicted model, not a curated record.
GUUCUUGUUAACUGCUGGAAUUGGCCUGCCUGCUUGUCGCCAUGAGGGGUUUUCCUCCUUCCCCCCCCCUGCUGUUGGUGAUGGCUUGUCUUGGGUGGUCGCUCUCCUUGCAGUGUGUGUGGUGAACCCGUUGUUUCAUGUUCUCUGUGUGUGUGUAUGUAGAUCUCUCCUCUGUUUUUUCCACCGGGUGCAUCCGGUGGGGUGGGCUGUGGCUCGCGAAAGCUUGUGCUCUAGUGGAUUUGUUGGUCUCUGGGGUGCCACAAGUACUCCUUUUCUUUUUGCGAAUACAGACUAACACUCUGCUACUCUGAAACCAAUACAGGCUG